ACUAGUCAUGUGUGAUGAGCAUCCUGAGUCCAAGUAUUAUUGAUCCUGGAAUCUUUCUUCAUAUCUUGUUAUGAACAUCAAUAACAUCUCUUAUUCUUCAAGCUUUGCAAACUUUGCAUCAAUUUCUCGAUUCUUUUGUUUUUCAGGACAAUCACUUGAAUAGUGACCAUACUUCUAACAAUUGAAACACUGAAUGUGACUUUUGUCAGGUUUUUGA
Molecule: long non-coding RNA, 217 nt
Filed under: Lathyrus oleraceus (garden pea)
Lineage: Eukaryota; Viridiplantae; Streptophyta; Magnoliopsida; Fabales; Fabaceae
Description: Pisum sativum (pea) long non-coding RNA (PSAT_LNC000879)
Source: RNAcentral